CUUCGGCUGCGCUGUGGCUCCUCUCUCAAGGGACAGCGUAGGCCCUGGGGGUCAGUUGGAGAGGGCUCUGGCUGCCAGCGACUGCUCUGGGGGUGUCUGCGACCAAGGACAAUCCUGGGCUUCUCCUGGGGCGUGGGCAGUUCUGCCUACCAGACAGAGGGCGCCUGGGACCAGGACGGGAAAGGGCCCAGCAUCUGGGACGUCUUCACACACAGUGGGAAGGGGAAGGUGCUCGGGAAUGAGACUGCAGAUGUAGCCUGUGACAGCUACUACAAGGUCCAGGAGGACAUCAUUCUGCUGAGGGAACUGCACGUCAACCACUACCGAUUCUCCCUGUCUUGGCCCCGGCUCCUGCCCACAGGCAUCCGAGGUGAGCUAGGGAAGUCCCUCCCGAGCCCAGGUGCAGCCCCUUCCGGCCAUGUUGGCUUUGCGGGGGCACCACAGAGUCCUGGGGAGGGAGAUCAGCCCAUGAACGUGGUUGCUGAUGGUAGCAGCUCUCACAGGUUCUGCAGCUGAGCAGGUGAACAAGAAGGGAAUCAAAUUCUACAGUGAACUUAUCGAUGCCCUUCUG
RNAcentral lists this small RNA (571 nucleotides) under Pongo abelii (Sumatran orangutan). Its description in RNAcentral is "processed transcript". Lineage: Eukaryota; Metazoa; Chordata; Mammalia; Primates; Hominidae. The record is from RNAcentral.